GGGUGAGUAACGCGUAAGGAACUUGCCUCUUGGACUGGGAAAACUGUUGGAAACGACAGCUAAUACCGGAUAUUAUGAGAUUCUCGCAUGAGAAACUUAUGAAAGCUAUAUGCGCCAAGAGAGAGCCUUGCGUUCCAUUAGCUAGUUGGUGGGGUAACGGCCCACCAAGGCGACGAUGGAUAGCCGGCCUGAGAGGGUGAACGGCCACAAGGGGACUGAGACACGGCCCUUACUCCUACGGGAGGCAGCAGUGGGGAAUAUUGGACAAUGGGCCACAAGCCUGAUCCAGCAAUUCUGUGUGCACGAUGAAGGUCUUCGGAUUGUAAAGUGCUUUCAGUUGGGAAGAAGAAAGUGACGGUACCAACAGAAGAAGCGACGGCUAAAUACGUGCCAGCAGCCGCGGUAAUACGUAUGUCGCAAGCGUUAUCCGGAUUUAUUGGGCGUAAAGCGCGUCUAGGCGGAAAAAUAAGUCUGAUGUUAAAAUGCGGGGCUCAACUCCGUAUUGCGUUGGAAACUGUUUUUCUAGAGUACUGGAGAGGUGGGCGGAACUACAAGUGUAGAGGUGAAAUUCGUAGAUAUUUGUAG
Molecule: ribosomal RNA, 585 nt
Filed under: uncultured bacterium
Lineage: Bacteria
Description: bacterial SSU rRNA
Rfam family: Bacterial small subunit ribosomal RNA
Source: RNAcentral